CAACGCACCCGUGCCAAGUCCCCCCUGAGUACCUCCCAGCCACAUGUGCCUGCCAAGUAACAAAAAGAUACCUCGGCACAAUUAGCUAGCACAUACUCUGCUAAGCUAUCUCUUGCUGCUAAGCUAUCUCUUGCUGCUAUCCCUUGCUGCUAAGCUAUUUCUUGCUGUCAAUUUAUCUACCACUGCUAUUCCUUGCUGCUAAGCUAUCUCUUGCUGCUAAGCUAUCUCUUGCUGCUAUCCCUUGCUGCUAAGCUAUUUCUUGCUGUCAAUUUAUCUACCACUGCUAUUCCUUGCUGCUAAGCUAUCCCUCACUGCUACACUAUCUCUCACUGCUAAGCUAUCCCUCACUGCUAAGCUAUCUCUUGCUGCUAAGCUAUCCCUUGCUGCUAAGCUAUCCCUCACUGCUAAACUAUCCCUCACUGCUACACUAUCUCUCACUGCUAAGCUAUCCCUCACUGCUAAGCUAUCUCUUGCUGCUAAGCUAUCCCUUGCUGCUAAGCUAUCCCUCACUGCUAAACUAUCCCUCACUGCUACACUAUCUCUCACUGCUAAGCUAUCCCUCACUGCUAAGCUAUCCCUUGCUGCUAAGCUAUCCCUUGCUGCUAAGCUAUCCAUCGCUGCUAAGCUAUCACUCACUGCUAAUCUAUCCCUCACUGCUAAGCUAUUUCUUGCUGCUAAGCUAUCGCUCGCUGCUAAUCUAUCCCUUGCUGCUAAGCUAUCCCUUGCUGCUAAGCUAUCCCUCACUGCUAAGCUAUCCCUUGCUGCUAAGCCAUCCCUCACUGCUAAGCUAUCCCUCACUGUCAAUUUAUCUAUCACUGCUAAUCUAUCUAUCACUGCUGUCAAUUUAUCUACCACUGUCAAUCUAUCUAUCACUGCUAAUCUAUUGCUGCUAAUCUAUCACUGUCAGUCAAUCUACUGCAGUGAAUCUAUCUAUCACUAUCAUUACUGAUUCAAAAUAGA
Molecule: small RNA, 960 nt
Filed under: Histoplasma ohiense
Lineage: Eukaryota; Fungi; Ascomycota; Eurotiomycetes; Onygenales; Ajellomycetaceae
Description: hypothetical lncRNA
Source: RNAcentral